CGCAGCUUUGUCAAAUUCAUUGCUCCCUCCUCAGUAGGGUGCAUUGGCCAAAAUGGCUGCAACAGUAACUGUAGUUCAUGGGCCUCAUGUCCCUUUAGCGUGGACACUGGGGAUAGAGAUGCUCUACAGACAAAU
Lampris incognitus (smalleye Pacific opah) is the source of this 135-nucleotide small nucleolar RNA. RefSeq annotates it as small nucleolar RNA SNORA5. The transcript has a single exon. The record is from RefSeq and is a predicted model, not a curated record. Lineage: Eukaryota; Metazoa; Chordata; Actinopteri; Lampriformes; Lampridae.